Molecule: long non-coding RNA, 578 nt
Filed under: Rattus norvegicus (Norway rat)
Lineage: Eukaryota; Metazoa; Chordata; Mammalia; Rodentia; Muridae
Description: long non-coding RNA NONRATT010303
Source: RNAcentral
UAAAUUCCGAGGCAGAGGAUCCUGAUGCGGAAGCUUCUUUUUGCACAAGUUCCACAAGGCUGUGUAUCUAGGAUCUAAGGGAGCUGGCCCAGCUCUGCAGCCCCUGUCCCGUGUUAAAGAGACUAGCACUUUGGGUAUGUCUCAGUGAAGGUCCUACAGAAGAUGGGGGCCCAGGGUUGGAAUGAAGAGCGGCUGUCAGGAAGAGGCUGGGCUGAGGCCAGGAAUCCUGGCUUUCCCCACUGGGGUACAGCAUAAAAAUUGCUUGCCCCUGGGAGUGAGAGCAGCUGGGGUGGGGGCCCCACAGAGUCUCACACUGUCUCAUCUGUGUCUACUCUGUCCCAGGUUUCUGAUGAAGAGCUAUCUGCAGGCUCAAGCGUCCCCAGGCGCCACACCACAGAAGCCUCUCCCUCAGUCCGUCAUGUAUAUUGCCACACAAAGGCCAGCCAGGUGCUCAGCCCAGACUGCAGCUGACUUCCGCUGCCCAGAUGUCUAUACCACAGCCUGGGCAUAUGUGUCUACCAGGCUCAUAAGAGAUGCAGCACACCGUACACAGACCCUCAUGAAGUCCGGGGUUGACC